UAAGCACUGCUUUCUUCUUAGUUUUUAUACAGCUCUCGAGCUAUAAUCCAAAGCCUGUUGUUUACAUUUGCAGCCUGCAAACAGCCUGCUAGGGAAUGGCCCAGAAUCCAUAAGGAACUGCAGGCUUUGCCAGUGGGAGUCACCUGCUGAAUUCCGCGGUCAGACAAGACCCGGGGAAGCUUCUCCAUCUGUCUGCAGUGGGAAUCGUUGCUGCCGGGGCAGAAUGACGGAAGUUCAGAGAAGACUGCGGGCCUCAGGCCGUCAGAGAGGUGAGGGAGGUAGCUCCUUCCCUAGGACGUGAUUUGUAGUCAUUUGCUGAGAAACUUCCCUUGCUGUGUUGAGCUGCAGCUGUCGGGAUAAAAGGUGCUUUCUCAGAGAUAAAGAAGGCCACCACCUUCAGCCAAGAGAAAGAGGGAAGAAGAAUAGAUACAGAGAAGCUAAGGGGAAACUAAGAUUCUGUUGCCCGAGAGAAAGAAAGGAAGCAAAGGUCUCCUGGUGCCGGGAUUGAAAUAGGAAGUAGAUGGUGAAAAGCAGACCUUGUGCGGGGACACAUGGGCGGAGUUACAUGCUGGUGACAAAGAGCCCCACUGUUUCCGCAGCUUCAAACAACACAAGUUCAUUUCUCAGGCACGUUGAUUGUUCUUCGCAGACCAGCCGGCAGCUCUGUCUCUUGUGAACAUACAGGAACUGGGCCCGUGGAGGCUCCAUCUUGACUUUGAGGCAAGAAGAUAAGAACAUGCACGAAGUUUCUAUUGAGCACCGGGUCUUCAAGCUCCCACACAAAAUAGAUGCGGCUGUCACGUGUCACUACCAUGGCAACACUGGCUCACAGCUAACUUCCAAUCCUAAUGACUACCCCAGCAAGCAUCACCAAAUGAGAGAAGAAUGGAGGAAGACACAGGGAGUGAUGUUGUUACAGCUACACCAGUCUUCCUAGCUGUUCUUGGGGGGAGAACCACUUCCAGAAGUGGAAAAUUCGGGAAGUGACAUUAGGACGGAGACCUGAGUGCAGAAGAGCUGGCAUCGUCAGGAUCUGGGGAAGAGUGCCAAGGCCGGGAGGUAUAUCAAGAACAAUCAUUUGCGGAAGCGUUCCAGGGACUAGAAGGCCUGAUCUCAGCACAAAACCCUGAUAAUUGAGCUCAAGUCCUCUCUCACCAUUUGGAAGUGGCUCAGCACAGUCAAGAAGCUCAAGGAACAGAGGUUACUGCUUCUGGGGACGCGCUUUGGCGUGGGAAGAGAUGUACUCAUUACUGUAAUUUUAAGAGUGAACCACAAUAAAGCAGAGCGGAAGCAGAGGACGAGGAAUCAGGCCUGCCCACCGCGAUGUGCUCAAUCUGACCACUCCAUCAC
Callorhinus ursinus (northern fur seal) is the source of this 1350-nucleotide non-coding RNA. NCBI's taxonomy places the organism in Eukaryota, Metazoa, Chordata, Mammalia, Carnivora, Otariidae. The record is from RefSeq and is a predicted model, not a curated record.